CACUCCUGCGGGAGGCAGCAGUGGGGAAUAUUGGACAAUGGGCGCAAGCCUGAUCCAGCCAUGCCGCGUGAGUGAUGAAGGCCCUAGGGUUGUAAAGCUCUUUCACCGGUGAAGAUAAUGACGGUAACCGGAGAAGAAGCCCCGGCUAACUUCGUGCCAGCAGCCGCGGUAAUACGAAGGGGGCUAGCGUUGUUCGGAUUUACUGGGCGUAAAGCGCACGUAGGCGGACUAUUAAGUCAGGGGUGAAAUCCCGGGGCUCAACCCCGGAACUGCCUUUGAUACUGGUAGUCUUGAGUUCGAGAGAGGUGAGUGGAAUUCCGAGUGUAGAGGUGAAAUUCGUAGAUAUUCGGAGGAACACCAGUGGCGAAGGCGGCUCACUGGCUCGAUACUGACGCUGAGGUGCGAAAGCGUGGGGAGCAAACAGGAUUAGAAACCCCUGUAGUCCCAU
RNAcentral lists this ribosomal RNA (448 nucleotides) under uncultured organism. RNAcentral's name for it is "partial 16S ribosomal RNA". It matches the Rfam family "Bacterial small subunit ribosomal RNA", at positions 334 to 798 of the family's 1533-position model. The record is from RNAcentral.